UGGAUCCUUAUGUUUGGGCAUACAAUCAUCAAGCAUGAUGCCUGCAAAAGCAUUUAGUUGCUUUUCAUGGUGCAUAUACUUUUGGUUCAGAAUUAUCACAAUUAUAAUGCUCAAGAAUGACAUUGAGCAACAGAAUGCAGAUUGAGAUGAUUAACCUUCUAGGCAGUAUUGAAUGAUACAAAAGCAGAUACAACACAGUCGAUUUGUCAAGGAAAGAAAAUAUAGGUUAGAGGAUGCAUGGAGAAGGAUAGCUAAAUACAAAAGAAAAUACAAUAUCCAUCUUAUACUAUGGAAGAAAGAAAAAUUAG
This 308-nucleotide long non-coding RNA is filed under the name Musa acuminata (dwarf banana). Its description in RNAcentral is "long non-coding RNA (MACU_LNC011578)". Lineage: Eukaryota; Viridiplantae; Streptophyta; Magnoliopsida; Zingiberales; Musaceae. The record is from RNAcentral.